AGCGUGUUGGUGAGGUAAAAGCUCACCAAGGCGACGAUCUGUAGCGGGUCUGAGAGGAUGAUCCGCCACACUGGAACUGAGACACGGUCCAGACUCCUACGGGAGGCAGCAGUGGGGAAUUUUGGACAAUGGGGGCAACCCUGAUCCAGCCAUGCCGCGUGAGUGAAGAAGGCCUUCGGGUUGUAAAGCUCUUUCAGCCGGGAAGAAAACGCAUGGGUUAAUACCCUGUGUGGAUGACGGUACCGGAAUAAGAAGCACCGGCUAACUACGUGCCAGCAGCCGCGGUAAUACGUAGGGUGCGAGCGUUAAUCGGAAUUACUGGGCGUAAAGCGUGCGCAGGCGGUUUUGUAAGACAGGCGUGAAAUCCCCGGGCUUAACCUGGGAACUGCGUUUGUGACUGCAAGGCUAGAGUACGGCAGAGGGGGGUGGAAUUCCACGUGUAGCAGUGAAAUGCGUAGAGAUGUGGAGGAACACCAAUGGCGAAGGCAGCCCCCUGGGUCGAUACUGACGCUCAUGCACGAAAGCGUGGGUAGCAAACAGGAUUAGAUACCCUGGUAGUCCACGCCCUAAACGAUGUCAACUAGGUGUUGGGAGGGUAAAACCUUUUAGUACCGGAGCUAACGCGUGAAGUUGACCGCCUGGGGAGUACGGCCGCAAGGUUAAAACUCAAAGGAAUUGACGGGGACCCGCACAAGCGGUGGAUGAUGUGGAUUAAUUCGAUGCAACGCGAAAAACCUUACCUACCCUUGACAUGCCAAGAACUUUCCAGAGAUGGAUUGGGCCCGAAAGGGAACUUGGACACAGGUGCUGCAUGGCUGUCGUCAGCUCGUGUCGUGAGAUGUUGGGUUAAGUCCCGCAACGAGCGCAACCCUUGUCGUUAAUUGCCAUCAUUUAGUUGGGCACUUUAACGAGACUGCCGGUGACAAACCGGAGGAAGGUGGGGAUGACGUCAAGUCCUCAUGGCCCUUAUGGGUAGGGCUUCACACGUCAUACAAUGGUCGGUACAAAGGGUCGCCAAGCCGCGAGGUGGAGCCAAUCCCAGAAAGCCGAUCGUAGUCCGGAUCGCAGUCUGCAACUCGACUGCGUGAAGUCGGAAUCGCUAGUAAUCGUGGAUCAGAAUGUCACGGUGAAUACGUUCCCGGGUCUUGUACACACCGCCCGUCACACCAUGGGAGCGGGUUCCGCCAGAAGUAGGUAGCCUAACCGCAAGGAGGGCGCUUACCACGGCGGGGUUCGUGACUGGGGUGAAGUCGUAACAAGGUUGCCGUAGGGGAACCUGCGGCUG
Molecule: ribosomal RNA, 1285 nt
Filed under: metagenome
Description: bacterial SSU rRNA
Rfam family: Bacterial small subunit ribosomal RNA
Source: RNAcentral